Rhincodon typus (whale shark) is the source of this 594-nucleotide long non-coding RNA. RefSeq lists it as uncharacterized. The record is from RefSeq and is a predicted model, not a curated record. The transcript is spliced from 2 exons. NCBI's taxonomy places the organism in Eukaryota, Metazoa, Chordata, Chondrichthyes, Orectolobiformes, Rhincodontidae.
CUCAUCGCCACCCGUCCUCCUGGAUCGUCGCCGGAUUGAAGGGAGACGUGCGCAUGCGCGCGCCGGCGGCAGCGGGGCCGCGCCCGCCCGGAGCUCGUGCCCGUGACUGCCGAGGCCGGGGAGACCAGAACGCGCGCUCUUCCUCAUCAGGCUGCGACCGUUACUCGUCUCCAAAGUAACCAUGGAAGGUGCAGAGUUCAAAUCCCCACUCACGGAGAAGAGAGCCAGCUCUGAACAACAGGAACACCACCAAUUUGAGGUCUAGGAGCUGCGGUUGUAAUUAUAGGUUCACCCAUUUUUUUUUCCUAAUAUUUUGGAGUUUUAUAUAGUUAUUCCAAAAGUUGUUUCCUGCAAGAAUUGGAUGCUUUAAAGAUGAAAAAUAUCGUGUUUAUAAAGACUUCAAGACACCCUUAAAGAUUCAGCAUGCACUGAAUAAUCCUGAGUGACAGUGUACACUAUAUUCAUGUAACAAAACUGGCUCACUAUCAUUGUGCUAGCUAGAAAUGACCUAGUCGGAGUCACUUCUAAUCUAACUAGAUUUUUUUUGUCAUUAGGCUUUGAAACAAUUAAAGGCAUGUAUCAAUAUUUCUAAAA